CUGAGCCCAGUCCCGAGGCCUCACCUUGCUCCGUCAGCCCCGAAGCAGCAGCAGCAGGCCCGGCGCUCCCCGAGCUGACUGCCAAGAAGUCAGAGCCAACCGUCUACUGAGCACAGAAAUCAGAACCCGGAGCUGGUAGGACUCAGGGCGGCUGACCGCGCUGGCUACCCAGGGCCCGUAGGACCCCCCUGCCCAGCAGAGGAGCUGAGGCACCAAACCACAGGUCCAGCGGACCAGAGCCAAUUUCGUCCACACGUCCAUAACGGAGCCCCACCUCAGCGCAGAGGCCCAGCAGCCCUGGCGGCCGCCCAGAGCCUCCCACCGGGGAGGACGGCGGUGCCCUGACACGCAGGCGGUGAGCUCCAUAGCAACCACUUUCUGAACCCACCGGGGACCCUCGUGACCAGGAGGUGCAGGAAAGCCUCUGCAUCCCGCCUACCUGCCACUGACGCCGUGGCCUGUGCCCCUCAGACACUCAGAGCACAGAACUGAGGACACCUCUGGCCUAAUUCGUGAGCUUUUCAUAAAACCCUCAUUCAAAAGUCUCUCCAUCCAUCCAUUGGGAAGCAUUUAUUGAGCCCCUGCUAUGUGCCUGGCACACCAGGUACCAGGAGGCUGCAGGGCCUGCCUGGGAAGGUGGCCCCAUCCUAUUGUGAGGACUCAGCCAGGGCACUGACGCCCAGGGCACCAGGCAGGCAGGGCAAAAGCCAGCACCUGGAGCAGAGGGUGCAGGUGCCAGGUCCAGAAAGAGGGGUUUGCCAGGCAGCGUAACGGUUCAGGAAGCCAGUGCAAUCUCAAUCAGAGUUUCAAACAGUAGGGGGUCCCCUAGGGAUAGGCCCCCAGUGCCCCUUGGACCACCACCCACAGUAUCUUUCCUAGGUGGCAGAGAGGCAGAAGGGGAGUUCGGGCAGGGGGCCGGGCGAGGUCUGCAACCUCUUCCCUCCAGGUGGGACCAGUGACCAGCAAAGGAACCCCUGCCUGGGCUCCCAACUACAGCAGCACCUCCAAGGACAGGCAGAUAUAAUUGGGACCCAAAUCGUCAGGCAUCGUGAGCUGAUAGCACGAAUAAAGGAGGAGGUUGUUUGCGGUGCCUCAUGGGGACAUUCCUGCAGCGAGAGGGCCAUCCACUACCUGCUCUGGGGGUGCGUGAGAGCCAGCCCAGGACUUCAAGCUGCGCCCAGGCCGGGCACAAAGGGGCUUUCAUCCCAGGGGACGACCCGUCUUCAAUUGGCGAUUGGCGAUGAAAGAACUCCCAGAUCCUGGCUUCCCGGUGCCCUCACGCCGCGGGGAGGCGCCCAUUAACUCUGUGCUGCCCAUGCUCCCUGCAGGCUGGGGGGCCGGGGCUUAUCAGCCGGGAGAGGGGCCUGCCAGGUGCUCCGGGUCCACCAGCGGCUCCCUCCAUCACCUCCUGCUCAGGGGCCCGUGUGGGACUCUAGUGGACCCCGGGGGUCCUGUCCCCACAUGUGGCCUAGCCCAGGGCUGUGCUAUUCGUGUCCAGUUUCAUUUUUCUCCAGAAGCUGAUCUUUCAUUUUUCUUUCCACCCAUAAAAGCAUCUAAACAACUUCUCAGAACCCCCUGGGCCCAGCCCCCCAGCGGAGUAUCUGAAAUCUGGAGUUGUGAGCUGGGUUUGGGGGGUCACCUUCGGGGAGGCAGAGGGGCCGGGCGUCCUGUAUUGUUUGUGGUUCAAAUACUGUGUGCUUUCCUGUUUGACUCACAUAAUUUCACAAAAUAAAAUUAAAAAUCAUGAAA
Myotis lucifugus (little brown bat) is the source of this 1749-nucleotide long non-coding RNA. RefSeq lists it as uncharacterized. The transcript is spliced from 3 exons. NCBI's taxonomy places the organism in Eukaryota, Metazoa, Chordata, Mammalia, Chiroptera, Vespertilionidae. The record is from RefSeq and is a predicted model, not a curated record.